Hyaena hyaena (striped hyena) is the source of this 680-nucleotide long non-coding RNA. RefSeq lists it as uncharacterized. The record is from RefSeq and is a predicted model, not a curated record. Lineage: Eukaryota; Metazoa; Chordata; Mammalia; Carnivora; Hyaenidae. The transcript is spliced from 3 exons.
AAAUAAAACCUGACUGUGGGGUGUGGGGGAGGACCGAGGCGGACGCGUAUCAGCGCGGCCCCCCCGCCCCCCUCGGCUCUGGUCUGGGGAAUAGGAUGCUGAGGGCUUGGACCAGAGGAGCCGGAGCCCAUCCCCGACCCGUAGAUGCUCCAGAUCCCCCGACCCACACCCCAGCCGGCCCCAGCUGCCAUCCCACACUUACGAAGGAAAUGCAGGCAGCCAGGAGAAGGAUCCGCACCAGGAGGGAGCUCUACCCAGGGAAAAAGAAGAAAAGGACACAUUCAUUUGGGGCUCGGUCUAAUGCCUCCCACACCCAGGAUUCUGUGGCUAAGGGUGGGAAGCCUUAACUGAAGAAUUUAGAGCCAGGAGGGUCCUCGGAGGCUGCAGAUUCUGCUGUUCACUGUCCAGUCCCGUUAGGAGCACUUGGCUGGAAACCCCCGAGAAGCAUUCUUUGGUUCUGCACUUACCGCUCAACAGACAAGGCAGCCCACAGGGGAGCAAGAAGCUGAGAGCACAGGGCCGGAGGGCAACAGGGACCUGACCAGACCCAGGCUUCUGGCCUCUCAGCUCUGGAGUGGGCAACACCGAGUGGGCCGCUUUCCUGACCCACCUGCCCCAGUCCCCACUGCACACAGUGGCCACAGCCAUCAGGAUGGAACUGAGAUAAACCCUUUUAUUUA